Molecule: ribosomal RNA, 253 nt
Filed under: uncultured bacterium
Lineage: Bacteria
Description: partial 16S ribosomal RNA
Rfam family: Bacterial small subunit ribosomal RNA
Source: RNAcentral
UACGUAGGGUGCAAGCGUUAAUCGGAAUUACUGGGCGUAAAGCGUGCGCAGGCGGUUUUGUAAGUCUGUCGUGAAAUCCCCGGGCUCAACCUGGGAAUUGCGAUGGAGACUGCAGGGCUAGAAUCUGGCAGAGGGGGGUAGAAUUCCACGUGUAGCAGUGAAAUGCGUAGAGAUGUGGAGGAACACCGAUGGCGAAGGCAGCCCCCUGGGUCAAGAUUGACGCUCAUGCACGAAAGCGUGGGGAGCAAACAGG